GACGAACGCUGGCGGCGUGCUUAACACAUGCAAGUCGAACGGAAAGGCCCUGCUUUUGUGGGGUUCUCGAGUGGCGAACGGGUGAGUAACACGUGAGUAACCUGCCCUUGACAUUGGGAUAACUUCAGGAGACUGGGGCUAAUACCGGAUAGGAGCUCCUGCUGCAUGGGGGGGAAUGGAAAGAUUCGGCGGUUGGGGAUGGACUCGCGGCUUAUCAGCUGGUUGGUGGGGUUGUGGCUUACCAAGGCUUUGACGGGUAGCCGGCCUGAGAGGGUGACCGGCCACAUUGGGACUGAGAUACGGCCCAGACUCCUACGGGAGGCAGCAGUGGGGAAUAUUGCACAAUGGGCGGAAGCCUGAUGCAGCAACGCCGCGUGCGGGAUGACGGCUUUCGGGUUGUAAACCGCUUUCGCCUGUGACGAAGCGUGAGUGACGGUAAUGGGUAAAGAAGCACCGGCUAACUACGUG
Molecule: ribosomal RNA, 468 nt
Filed under: uncultured bacterium
Lineage: Bacteria
Description: partial 16S ribosomal RNA
Rfam family: Bacterial small subunit ribosomal RNA
Source: RNAcentral